RNAcentral lists this long non-coding RNA (1736 nucleotides) under Vulpes vulpes (red fox). RNAcentral describes it as "lncRNA (ENSVVUG00000016265.1)". Lineage: Eukaryota; Metazoa; Chordata; Mammalia; Carnivora; Canidae. The record is from RNAcentral.
AUCUUAAAAAAAAAAAAAAAGAAGGGUCACCUCGGAAGAGAGGGCGGGGCGCUGGGACAGGGCUCGGGGGUGGGCGGGGUCUUCGGUGUGGGUGAGCCUCUAGAGCCCGGGGCCCUGGCACCGUGGUGGAGGGGAGGCAAGAACGGCGCUCGGCGGCCACUCAGGUGGGCACUUGGCAGGCGCUCCCUGGGCACUCAGCGGGCACUCAGGCGGGCAUUCAACGGGCGCUCAGGUGGGCGCUCAGAUGGGAACUCCGCGGGCACUCGGCGGGCGCUCAGGUGGGCACUUGGCGGGUGCUCAGGUGGGCACUUGGCGGGCGCUCAGGUGGGCACUCGGCGGGCACUGGGCAGGUGCUCAGGCGGGCGCUUGGUGGGCACUGGGCAGGCGCUCAAGCGGGCACUCGGUGGGGGCUCAGGUGGGCGUUCAGGCGGGCACUCGGUGGGGGCUCAGGUGGGCACUCGGCGGGCACUGGGCGGGCGCUCAGGUGGGCACUCCGCAGGCACUCAGGUGGGCACUCCAUGGGCACUCGGCGGGCGCUCCACGGGCACUCAGGUGGGCACUGGGCAGGUGCUCUGUGGGUACUCGGCAGGCGCUCAGGCAGGCACUUGGCGGGUGUUCAGGUGGGCACUUGGCGGGCGCUCAGGUGGUUACUUGGCGGGUGCUCAGGCGGGCAUUCAGCGGGGGGUCAGGUGGGCACUCAGCAGGCACUCAGGUGGGCACUCGGCAGCGCUAAGGUGGGCACUCGACAGGCACUCGGCAGGUGCUCUGAGGGCACUCAGGUUGGCACUCGGCGGGCGCUCAGGCAGGCACUCGGCGGGCGCUCAGGGCGGGCACUCGGAGGGGGCUCAGGUGGGCACUCGGCAGGCACUAAGACGGGCACUUGGUAGGCACUCAGGUGGGCACUCGGCAGCGCUAAGGUGGGCACUCGACAGGCACUCGGCAGGCGCUCUGCGGGCACUCAGGUUGGCACUCGGCGGGCGCUCAGGCAGGCACUCGGCAGGCGCUCAGGUGGGUACUCGGCGGGCGCUCAGGGCGGGCACUCGGAGGGGGCUCAGGUGGGCACUCGGCGGGCACUUGGCAGGCGCUCAAGUGGGCACUCGGCGGGCGCUCAAGUGGGCACUCGGUGGGCGCUUAGGUGGGUACUUGGUGGGCACUCAGGCGGGCACUCAGCGGGGGCUCAGGUGGGCACUUGGCAGGCGCUCAGGUGGGCACUUGGUGGGCACUUGGCAGGUGCUCAGGUGGGCACUCGGCGGGUGCUCCGCGGGCACUCAGGUAGGCACUCAGCGUGCGCUCAGGGGGGCACUCAGCGGACGCUCAGACGGGCACUCGGUGGGCACUUGGCAGCGCUAAGGUGGGCACUCGACAGGCACUCGGCGGGCGCUCCACGGGCACUCAGACCGGCACUCGGUGGGUGCUCAGGUGGGCACUUGGCAGGCGCUCAGGCAGGCACUCCGGUGGGCACUCCAUGGGCACUUGGCGGGGGCUCAGGUGGGCACUCGGCAGGCGUUCAGGUGGGCACUCGGCGGGCGCUCAGGCAGGCACUCCGGUGGGCACUUAAAAGGGCGCUCCGCAGACACUCAGGUGGGCGCUCCGCGGGCACUCAGGCGGGCACUUGGCGGGCACUCAGGCGGGCACUCGGCUGGCGCUCAGGUGGGUACUCAGGCGGGCACUGGGUAGGUACUCAGGUGGGCACUCAGUGGGCGCUCAGGUGGGUACUCGGUGGCGCUCAGGUGGGU